ACUGAAACACCGAUUCCCGUACGAUCACAGAAGUUAAGCAACGUUGAGCCUGAUCAGUAACUAGAUGGGUGACCGCUUGG
Non-coding RNA from Acanthosepion pharaonis, 80 nucleotides. The record is from the annotation of a GenBank genome assembly. Lineage: Eukaryota; Metazoa; Mollusca; Cephalopoda; Sepiida; Sepiidae.